CCUACGGGAGGCAGCAGUGAGGAAUAUUGGUCAAUGGCCGGAAGGCUGAACCAGCCAAGCCGCGUGAAGGACGAAGGUGCCAAGCAUUGUAAACUUCUUUUGUCAAGGGACAAAAUCAGGCUCGAGAGCCUGACCGAGGGUACUUGAAGAAAAAGCAUCGGCUAACUCCGUGCCAGCAGCCGCGGUAAUACGGAGGAUGCGAGCGUUAUCCGGAUUGAGUGGGUUUAAAGGGUGCGUAGGCGGGCUGUUAAGUCAGCGGUAAAAGCCCGGGGCUCAACCCCGGCGAGCCGUUGAAACUGGCUGUCUAGAGAUGUCGAGAGGUAAGCGGAAUGCGUGGUGUAGCGGUGAAAUGCUUAGAGAUUGCGAAGAACCCCGAUUGCGAAGGCAGCAUACCGGCGGCGAUCUGACGCUGAGGCACGAAAGCGUGGGUAUCGAACAGGAUUAGAUACCCGGGUAGUC
RNAcentral lists this ribosomal RNA (459 nucleotides) under uncultured bacterium. RNAcentral describes it as "partial 16S ribosomal RNA". It matches the Rfam family "Bacterial small subunit ribosomal RNA", at positions 338 to 795 of the family's 1533-position model. The record is from RNAcentral.